GACGAACGCUGGCGGCGUGCUUAACACAUGCAAGUCGAACGGAAAGGCCCUGCUUUUGUGGGGUGCUCGAGUGGCGAACGGGUGAGUAACACGUGAGUAACCUGCCCUUGACUUUGGGAUAACUUCAGGAAACUGGGGCUAAUACCGGAUAGGAGCUCCUGCUGCAUGGUGGGGGUUGGAAAGUUUCGGCGGUUGGGGAUGGACUCGCGGCUUAUCAGCUUGUUGGUGGGGUAGUGGCUUACCAAGGCUUUGACGGGUAGCCGGCCUGAGAGGGUGACCGGCCACCUUGGGCCUGAGAUACGGCCCAGACUCCUACGGGCGGCAGCAGUGGGGAAUAUUGCACAAUGGGCGGAAGCCUGAUGCAGCAACGCCGCGUGCGGGAUGACGGCCUUCGGGUUGUAAACCGCUUUCGCCUGUGACGAAGCGUGAGUGACGGUAAUGGGUAAAGAAGCACCGGCUAACUACGUG
This 468-nucleotide ribosomal RNA is filed under the name uncultured bacterium. RNAcentral describes it as "partial 16S ribosomal RNA". It matches the Rfam family "Bacterial small subunit ribosomal RNA", at positions 28 to 507 of the family's 1533-position model. The record is from RNAcentral.